Long non-coding RNA from Hordeum vulgare subsp. vulgare (domesticated barley), 952 nucleotides. RefSeq lists it as uncharacterized. The record is from RefSeq and is a predicted model, not a curated record. The transcript has 2 exons. NCBI's taxonomy places the organism in Eukaryota, Viridiplantae, Streptophyta, Magnoliopsida, Poales, Poaceae.
CCUCGUUUCCCUCCCCCUGCUCUCUCCCUCUCUCUGUGUGUUUUUCGCAGCUACAGGAGUGCCACGGGGCAUGGCCAUCCCCGCCUCUACCGCUGCUGCAGGCUGGCUCCGUCCCGUGCAGGUCCAGCCAAGCCACCGUGGCCGAUGAACUCCUCAAGUCCGGUGCAGCCAAGCUUGUCAUCGACUCAUCCUCCGUCAACCCUGAUUCGGCCUGGUUCUGUAGCCUUCCCAUGGUGUCGCACCCGUCCGUCGCCUCCCUCAACAGAGCCGUCGCCUCCCUCAACAGAGCCGGCCAUUGGACCCGUCGCCGGCGGCCAGGCCGUGUCCUCGGCAGAGCCCCGCGUCACCGGUAGAAACCAGGACCAUGGACAGGAGCCUGUCAGCGCCAUGGAGCUCCAUCACCAGUCGGGUUUGGAGCCCCGAGGAUCGGAUCCGUCCAUCCCCAGCUGCCCUCGCCAUUUUCUCAACCCUUCUCCGUCAUUCCCUGCAGUCGUCUCACCAUGGAAGCCGGUCUAGUUGUUUCCCUGAUGUGAGCAAAAUCCCCUCGUAACUGAAGUUGUUUUAUUUUAGAUCUGUUCUGGCUGUCAUAGUGUCUAAGUAUGGAGCUGCUUGUUGGCACAAAAGCAUUGCUAGGCGAGCUGACCAUACCAGCGUGCUAUAAUUUGAGGGGUCUGGGGUUUGAAUCCGAGGCACCCAUAUUUGUCUUGUUGUUGUGCAUAAGAUUUAGCUUAGGUUUCACAUAUGUUCGUCUCGAAUUUUUUUCACAAGCACAUGUCCAGCCAAGCUGGCUAGCGCACGCACCCUAUAUCCAUGGGGCAUGAGGUUGGAAUUCCAUGAGCCCAUGCAUAAUAUCUUGUGUUGCUCGUAUCUUUUAGUCCGUAACUUCGUUGGAGAUGAGCUAUAUAUGUAAACCGACUAGAAUUCCGUGAAAAAUCACAUGCUUCGCCUCUUG